UACGUAGGGGGCUAGCGUUGUCCGGAUUUAUUGGGCGUAAAGAGCGUGUAGGCGGCCAGGUAGGUCUGGUGUGAAAACUCGAGGCUUAACCUUGAGAUGUCAUCGGAAACCAUUUGGCUAGAGUCCGGAAGAGGAAAGUGGAAUUCCUGGUGUAGCGGUGAAAUGCGUAGAUAUCAGGAGGAACACCUGUGGUGUAGACAGCUUACUGGACCAUUUCUGACGCUGAGACACGAAAGCGUGGGUAGCAAACAGG
This 253-nucleotide ribosomal RNA is filed under the name uncultured bacterium. RNAcentral describes it as "partial 16S ribosomal RNA". It matches the Rfam family "Bacterial small subunit ribosomal RNA", at positions 524 to 776 of the family's 1533-position model. The record is from RNAcentral.